UGUAUACAGCAAGUUGGAUGUCUUGAACACUAUGAGCACCAGUGGUGCUCCGAAUUUCCGGCAAGCCAAAGGAGGCUACGCAGUGUUUGGUAUGGGUCAGCCCAGCCUCAAUGGUUUCAAGCUUGUGCUGCAGAAGCUGCAGAGAGAAGGCCACAAGGAGUGUGUUUUCUUCUGUGUUCGUGAGGAACCCGUGCUGUUCUUGCGGGUGGAGAGCGACUUUGUGCCCUACACACCAC
This is a non-coding RNA of Meleagris gallopavo (turkey), 236 nucleotides long. Lineage: Eukaryota; Metazoa; Chordata; Aves; Galliformes; Phasianidae. The record is from RefSeq and is a predicted model, not a curated record.